CCUGGCUCAGGAUGAACGCUGGCGGCGUGCUUAACACAUGCAAGUCGAACGAGCCUUCGGGCUAGUGGCGGACGGGUGAGUAACGCGUGGGAAUCUGCCCUCAGGAGGGGGAUAACGGCCGGAAACGGCCGCUAAUACCCCAUAUGCCGAGAGGUGAAACGAAUUUCGCCUGAGGAUGAGCCCGCGUCUGAUUAGCUAGUUGGUGAGGUAAUGGCUCACCAAGGCAUCGAUCAGUAGCUGGUCUGAGAGGAUGAUCAGCCACACUGGGACUGAGACACGGCCCAGACUCCUACGGGAGGCAGCAGUGGGGAAUUUUCCGCAAUGGGCGCAAGCCUGACGGAGCAACGCCGCGUGAGGGACGAAGGCCUCUGGGCUGUAAACCUCUUUUCUCAAGGAAGAAGACAUGACGGUACUUGAGGAAUAAGCCACGGCUAAUUCCGUGCCAGCAGCCGCGGUAAUACGGGAGUGGCAAGCGUUAUCCGGAAUUAUUGGGCGUAAAGCGUCCGCAGGCGGCCUUGAAAGUCUGUUGUUAAAGCGUGGAGCUCAACUCCAUUUCAGCAAUGGAAACUACAAGGCUAGAGUGUGGUAGGGGCAGAGGGAAUUCCCGGUGUAGCGGUGAAAUGCGUAGAUAUCGGGAAGAACACCAGUGGCGAAGGCGCUCUGCUGGGCCAUAACUGACGCUCAUGGACGAAAGCCAGGGGAGCGAAAGGGAUUAGAUACCCCUGUAGUCCUGGCCGUAAACGAUGAACACUAGGUGUCGGGAGAAUUAACCCUUUCGGUGUCGUAGCCAACGCGUUAAGUGUUCCGCCUGGGGAGUACGCACGCAAGUGUGAAACUCAAAGGAAUUGACGGGGGCCCGCACAAGCGGUGGAGUAUGUGGUUUAAUUCGAUGCAACGCGAAGAACCUUACCAGGGUUUGACAUCCUGCGAAUCCUUUGGAAACUUAGGAGUGCCUUCGGGAGCGCAGUGACAGGUGGUGCAUGGCUGUCGUCAGCUCGUGUCGUGAGAUGUUGGGUUAAGUCCCGCAACGAGCGCAACCCACGUCUUUAGUUGCCAGCAUUUAGUUGGGCACUCUAGAGAGACCGCCGGUGAUAAACCGGAGGAAGGUGUGGAUGACGUCAAGUCAUCAUGCCCCUUACAUCCUGGGCUACACACGUACUACAAUGCUACGGACAAAGGGCAGCAAACUCGCGAGAGCUAGCAAAUCCCAUAAACCGUGGCUCAGUUCAGAUCGUAGGCUGCAACUCGCCUACGUGAAGGAGGAAUCGCUAGUAAUCGCAGGUCAGCAUACUGCGGUGAAUACGUUCCCGGGCCUUGUACACACCGCCCGUCACACCAUGGAAGUUGGCCAUGCCCGAAGUCGUUACUCCAACCCGCAAGGGAGGAGGACGCCGAAGGUGGGGCUGAUGACUGGGGUGAAGUCGUAACAAGGUAGCCGUACCGGAAGGUGCGGCUGGAUCACCUCCUAACAGGGAGACAAUCAAAGAUUGUGAUGUCUGGCUCAUUUAUUGCUAGACCACGGUCCUGUCAUCUCGAUGGUUAAUCGGUACCUCAAGCGACGGAGGCAAAACCUGAAGUUUUUCUAGUGAUAGAAGAGCUGAUGUGUUGUUGUCAAAGUCUUUUCAGUUCCUAAACUUUGUCUAGGUCACCCCCGCAAGGGAAUCCCUGGGCCAUUAGCUCAGGUGGUUAGAGCGCACCCCUGAUAAGGGUGAGGUCCCUGGUUCAAGUCCAGGAUGGCCCAUUCGUGUUCGGGGGUUUAGCUCAGUUGGUAGAGCGCCUGCUUUGCAAGCAGGAUGUCAGCGGUUCGAGUCCGCUAACCUCCACUGACCAACCCUCUACAUUCGCGAGAACAAGGGGACAGAGCUUGUGGUGGUGAAUUUAGACGAUUGUACUGAAGAAGGACUCUAGCUUCCUUUCACUGUAUGAUGAGCUCACUC
This 1937-nucleotide ribosomal RNA is filed under the name Cyanobium sp. CZS_34J. RNAcentral describes it as "bacterial SSU rRNA". The stretch from base 1 to 1469 matches the Rfam family "Bacterial small subunit ribosomal RNA". Lineage: Bacteria; Bacillati; Cyanobacteriota; Cyanophyceae; Synechococcales; Prochlorococcaceae. The record is from RNAcentral.